GCCAGCAUGGUGUAGUGGUUUGCAUGUCAGACUACAGCUCUAGAGAUCAGGGUUCAAAUCCCCACUUGAGUA
Non-coding RNA from Phrynosoma platyrhinos (Desert horned lizard), 72 nucleotides. The record is from the annotation of a GenBank genome assembly. NCBI's taxonomy places the organism in Eukaryota, Metazoa, Chordata, Lepidosauria, Squamata, Phrynosomatidae.